Molecule: ribosomal RNA, 253 nt
Filed under: uncultured bacterium
Lineage: Bacteria
Description: partial 16S ribosomal RNA
Rfam family: Bacterial small subunit ribosomal RNA
Source: RNAcentral
UACGUAGGUGGCAAGCGUUGUCCGGAUUUACUGGGCGUAAAGGGCGUGCAGGCGGUUUGUUAAGUGCAGAGUGAAAGCUCCCGGCUCAACUGGGAGAGGUCUUUGCAUACUGGCAAACUCGAGGGAGGCAGAGGAAAGUGGAAUUCCCGGUGUAGUGGUGAUAUGCGUAGAUAUCGGGAGGAACACCUGUGGCGAAGGCGGCUGUCUGGGCCUUACCUGACGCUGAGACGCGAAAGCGUGGGGAGCGAACCGG